RNAcentral lists this ribosomal RNA (1451 nucleotides) under Escherichia coli. RNAcentral describes it as "bacterial SSU rRNA". It matches the Rfam family "Bacterial small subunit ribosomal RNA". The record is from RNAcentral. Lineage: Bacteria; Pseudomonadati; Pseudomonadota; Gammaproteobacteria; Enterobacterales; Enterobacteriaceae.
GGCGGACGGGUGAGUAAUGUCUGGGAAACUGCCUGAUGGAGGGGGAUAACUACUGGAAACGGUAGCUAAUACCGCAUAACGUCGCAAGACCAAAGAGGGGGACCUUCGGGCCUCUUGCCAUCGGAUGUGCCCAGAUGGGAUUAGCUUGUUGGUGGGGUAACGGCUCACCAAGGCGACGAUCCCUAGCUGGUCUGAGAGGAUGACCAGCCACACUGGAACUGAGACACGGUCCAGACUCCUACGGGAGGCAGCAGUGGGGAAUAUUGCACAAUGGGCGCAAGCCUGAUGCAGCCAUGCCGCGUGUAUGAAGAAGGCCUUCGGGUUGUAAAGUACUUUCAGCGGGGAGGAAGGGAGUAAAGUUAAUACCUUUGCUCAUUGACGUUACCCGCAGAAGAAGCACCGGCUAACUCCGUGCCAGCAGCCGCGGUAAUACGGAGGGUGCAAGCGUUAAUCGGAAUUACUGGGCGUAAAGCGCACGCAGGCGGUUUGUUAAGUCAGAUGUGAAAUCCCCGGGCUCAACCUGGGAACUGCAUCUGAUACUGGCAAGCUUGAGUCUCGUAGAGGGGGGUAGAAUUCCAGGUGUAGCGGUGAAAUGCGUAGAGAUCUGGAGGAAUACCGGUGGCGAAGGCGGCCCCCUGGACGAAGACUGACGCUCAGGUGCGAAAGCGUGGGGAGCAAACAGGAUUAGAUACCCUGGUAGUCCACGCCGUAAACGAUGUCGACUUGGAGGUUGUGCCCUUGAGGCGUGGCUUCCGGAGCUAACGCGUUAAGUCGACCGCCUGGGGAGUACGGCCGCAAGGUUAAAACUCAAAUGAAUUGACGGGGGCCCGCACAAGCGGUGGAGCAUGUGGUUUAAUUCGAUGCAACGCGAAGAACCUUACCUGGUCUUGACAUCCACGGAAGUUUUCAGAGAUGAGAAUGUGCCUUCGGGAACCGUGAGACAGGUGCUGCAUGGCUGUCGUCAGCUCGUGUUGUGAAAUGUUGGGUUAAGUCCCGCAACGAGCGCAACCCUUAUCCUUUGUUGCCAGCGGUCCGGCCGGGAACUCAAAGGAGACUGCCAGUGAUAAACUGGAGGAAGGUGGGGAUGACGUCAAGUCAUCAUGGCCCUUACGACCAGGGCUACACACGUGCUACAAUGGCGCAUACAAAGAGAAGCGACCUCGCGAGAGCAAGCGGACCUCAUAAAGUGCGUCGUAGUCCGGAUUGGAGUCUGCAACUCGACUCCAUGAAGUCGGAAUCGCUAGUAAUCGUGGAUCAGAAUGCCACGGUGAAUACGUUCCCGGGCCUUGUACACACCGCCCGUCACACCAUGGGAGUGGGUUGCAAAAGAAGUAGGUAGCUUAACCUUCGGGAGGGCGCUUACCACUUUGUGAUUCAUGACUGGGGUGAAGUCGUAACAAGGUAACCGUAGGGGAACCUGCGGUUGGAUCACCUCCUUACCUUAAAGAAGC